Molecule: ribosomal RNA, 576 nt
Filed under: uncultured eukaryote
Lineage: Eukaryota
Description: SSU rRNA
Rfam family: Eukaryotic small subunit ribosomal RNA
Source: RNAcentral
UAAAAACCCCGACUUCGGAAGGGGUGUAUUUAUUAGAUACAAAACCAAUGCCCUUCGGGGCUCUUUGGUGAUUCAUGAUAACUAUACGAAUCGCACGGCCUUGCGCCGGCGAUGGUUCAUUCAAAUUUCUUCCCUAUCAACUUUCGAUGUUUGGGUAUUGGCCAAACAUGGUUGCAACGGGUAACGGAGGGUUAGGGCUCGACCCCGGAGAAGGAGCCUGAGAAACGGCUACUACAUCCAAGGAAGGCAGCAGGCGCGCAAAUUACCCAAUCCCGACUCGGGGAGGUAGUGACAAUAAAUACUGAUACAGGGCCCUUUCGGGCCUUGUAAUUGGAAUGAGUACAAUUUAAAUCCCUUAACGAGGAACAAUUGGAGGGCAAGUCUGGUGCCAGCAGCCGCGGUAAUUCCAGCUCCAAUAGCGUAUAUUAAAGUUGUUGUGGUUAAAAAGCUCGUAGUUGAACCUUGGGCCUGGCUGGCCGGUCCGCCUCACCGCGUGCACUGGUCCGGCUGGGCCUUUCCCUCUGUGGAACCCCAUACCCUUCACUGGGCGUGGCGGGGAAACAGGACAUUUACUUU